GGUUGGUCUGAAGGUAGUGAGUUAUCUCGCGUGAUUGUUCACAGUCAGUUACAGAUUGAACUCCUUGUUCUACUACUCUCCCCCCUCCUCACUACUGCACUUGACUAGUCUCAA
Microcebus murinus (gray mouse lemur) is the source of this 114-nucleotide unclassified non-coding RNA. It matches the Rfam family "Y RNA". Rfam says of the family: Y RNAs are components of the Ro ribonucleoprotein particle (Ro RNP), in association with Ro60 and La proteins. NCBI's taxonomy places the organism in Eukaryota, Metazoa, Chordata, Mammalia, Primates, Cheirogaleidae. The record is from Ensembl.